AUACGAAAGGUGCAAGCGUUGUUCGGAUUUACUGGGCGUAAAGAGAGUGUAGGUUGUUUAUUAAGUCGGAUGUGAAAUCCCGGGGCUCAACCCCGGAACUGCGUUCGAUACUGAUAGGCUAGAGUUCGGGAGGGGUAAGCGGAAUUCCGUGUGUAGCAGUGAAAUGCGUAGAUAUACGGAGGAACACCUGAGGCGAAGGCGGCUUACUGGACCGAUACUGACACUGAGACUCGAAAGCGUGGGUAGCAAACAGGAUUAGAAACCCCGGUAGUCC
Molecule: ribosomal RNA, 274 nt
Filed under: uncultured bacterium
Lineage: Bacteria
Description: partial 16S ribosomal RNA
Rfam family: Bacterial small subunit ribosomal RNA
Source: RNAcentral